AUGACCCAGGUCCGCGCGCGCUCCCCUCUCAGACGGCGCCCCCUGCCCUGCUCGGGCUCCGGCCAACGCUCGGGAGGCGCCGCUCGCCGGGCCCGGGCCCGGCUCCGGCUGGGGUCCAGGCCUGGCCCCCGACCCAGCCCAGCCCGGCUCGGCCCUGCCCGGCCCAACUCACCUCCGCAACCUGGCGGCGCCUCCUCAGUCCCCGCGGCCCGACGGCGCAGCCCCNNNNNNNNNNNNNNNNNNNNNNNNNNNNNNNNNNNNNNNNNNNNNNNNNNNNNNNNNNNNNNNNNNNNNNNNNNNNNNNNNNNNNNNNNNNNNNNNNNNNUAGCGCCCGGCCGGGGCCCCGCGGCUACGGCGCGCCCGGGGCGCACGCGGAGCUGUGAAUCGCGCGCACGGACUACCGCUCCCACAGGGCCGCGCGGCGCCGCCGCCAGAACGGAAGCUCGGGGCGGUACCCGGUGCGCAACGCAGGCCGGGAGUUGUAGUCCUCGGGUGUUGGCCAACACCCUGGAGCUCCCUCCAGGGGCUUGCCGACUUCCCGGGCCUCCCCGUCAGCCAGCACGGCUGGAAACUGCUGAGCCCGGUGCCACGCGGGGCGCUGCGUGUCGGAUCUGGCUCGGAGUGGCGGAAAGAAUCCUCCCAGGCCCAGGUGUGGUGCUCUGGCUGCUUACCUGGCUGUCUGGACGAGCACCCGACUAGGCCCUGGCCCUUGCGUCUCCAUGGGGCCCGCAGACCUCCGUGGCGUCUUUCCAGGGUCUCCUCAGUCCCCUUACCUCCCGCCUCCCAACCGUCGUAAAAUCUCUUUGCAACUUGUCUGCUACCGCGGGUCCUCUCAAGGCUUUGUGGUCAAAAGCUCUGGUUUUGGUGGGACCGACUUGGGUGGAGAAACGGCCUGGGCACUUACAGUUUGACUUGGCCACGUUACUUCUUGAGCCUCGGUUUCCUUCUCGGUGAAGGGGGACGACCUGAGAUACCAUCCACGGCGCGCUCAGCCCCGCGCCUGGGAGGAAGACCACUAAACCUGGGAAGCCGGUGGUGUUGGCGCGGGGGCCUCGGACCAGAGCCGCCCCCUCCCCGCCCCCCCCCCCCCAUUCACAAAAGGGCUUCCUAGGUCCAGUCUCUCCCGUUAAGUUCUCUUUGGGCAGCUUGAGGGCAUUCAACCAGCAGUCACGAGACUGGAGGCCCCUCUGCCGCCUCCAUGUUUUGGGGGCAGCAGGACCCGCAGGAAAGCUGUUCAUCAGAUGCGGCCAAAGCACAGGGAGGCGGUAGAGGGGGUUGCUAGGAUCCUCAGGGCAGAGCCCUAAAGACUGGUGUUCAGGGGGCACCUAGGGAGCCUGAGGCGGCACUGGCCAUUCAGGAGACAGAAACCAGGCAUGUCAGCUAAGAGAUUCAGGGAGAGUACUCGGUUAUGGCUCAAUUCUGCCUCCAGACUCCAGAGUAGAGUUGGGUUUUGCUUUGUUCUUUAACUCUGUUUUGAGAGAGACACAGCUUGAGCAGGGGAGAGAGAGAAUCCCAAGCAGGAUCUGCACAGUCACUGAGGGGCCCAGUGUGGGGCUUGAGCUCACAAACCAUGGGAUCAUGGCCUGGACCGAAAUCAAGAGCUGGAUGCUUAGCAGACUGAGCCACCCAGGUGCCCCAAGAUGGAGCAGAACGCAAGUGGAAGGUUGGGCCGCGUUUGUUCCAGUACCCCGAAAACCUGCGCUAACCGCAGGACGACCUACAUACAGGGUUCAGUGUACUCAGUAGACCAAGCCCCCGGAAAACCUCGGACUCCAGAUGCAGCCGCGAUGGAGCCGCUUCCUGAGUUCUCUAAGCGGCGAGCUUGCGGGGGACUUGCCAGUCCCUAGCUUCCUCAUCUCUUAGCGACAACAUGCAGCCUCUGACCCUGUGUGGCCAUGGAAUCCAGAAGAGAGUCGAGGGCCAACUCCACAGGCCCCCUUCCCUCCCCUGCCCCUUCCAAAGGACACAGCCUGGGGUGGCAGUGUUCGCCGGGUAUCCACAGCUGUGUGACCUCCAGGAGAAGCUCACUGCAGUUUUUCAGAGCCGGGACCUGCACAGGGAGGGUGAGGAGAGAGUACAGGGAGAGAGUAGGAGAUUCCUGCCCUUCCCAGGAAGGGGCCAGGGCCUGUUGUCAAGGGGGAGAAGGCCCAGUCACCACAAGCAGACCUGAGGAGUUUUCUGGACUCUGGAGUAGCUCCGUGUCCGAGGGGAAGGAGCUGGAGAAGGGGUGGAAGGGCCCAAUGCAGAGAGACCUGGGUACUGGCGGGAGGCAUUGUCUCAAGCAUCCCUGUGCAGAUCCCACGUGUGCCCAUGUUCUUGGCUUUGGGACACAGCAGUAAACAAGACACCCAAAGACCUUCAUGGAGUGGAGAUUCUAGCGGGCUUUGGACACAGCGACCAGUGGUGGGACGCACAUGCUGGAGCAGAGGCCAGCUGGUGGGUCAAGCAUGGGUCGUCAGUCUGUGUGCUGGGAGAUGUGUGACCUGUGCUCUGCCUGAUUUUACAUAAUGACCUGUCUGCUUUGCGAACCCCACGUGCCUGGCUUAAAUCGGAAAACAGAUGUCCAUACAAGUAAAAAGUGAGAGCCCCGGGGCACCUGGGUGGCUCAACAGGUUAAGCAUCUGACUCUUUGAUUUCAGCUCAGGUCAUGAUCUCACGGUUUGUGAGUUUCAGCCCCAUGUCAGACUCUGUGCUGAUAGUGUGGAGCCUGCUUAGGAUUCUCUCUCUGCCUCCCUCUCUCUGCCCCUCCCCUGCUCGUGCUUUUUCUCUCUUUCUCAAAAUAAAAACAUGGGAAAAAAAAAAAAACAGGCUGGAAGCUCAGAAAGGAGGAGGCUUUCUCAUAGUGCCCUGUCAGGGUUAGAGCCUGCUUGAAAUCGUCUCUCCCAUCUGUCUGCCCCUACCCCCAUGUGCACCUGCAC
Long non-coding RNA from Suricata suricatta (meerkat), 2918 nucleotides. NCBI's taxonomy places the organism in Eukaryota, Metazoa, Chordata, Mammalia, Carnivora, Herpestidae. The record is from Ensembl.